Molecule: non-coding RNA, 30 nt
Filed under: Homo sapiens (human)
Lineage: Eukaryota; Metazoa; Chordata; Mammalia; Primates; Hominidae
Source: RNAcentral
UGAUCUGAGCAGCAUGAAGUCCCCUGACAU